UCAAGUUAUUAAGGGUGCAGGGCGGAUGCCUUGGCACUAGGAGCCGAUGAAGGACGUGAUAAGCUGCGAUAAGCUUCGGGGAGUUGCACGUAAACUUUGAUCCGAAGAUUUCCGAAUGAGGAAACUCACUUAGAGUAAUGUCUAAGUAUCAUUAAGUGAAUACAUAGCUUAAUGAGGGGAACUCAGGGAACUGAAACAUCUAAGUACCUGAAGGAAGAGAAAGAAAUUCGAUUCCGUAAGUAGCGGCGAGCGAACGCGGAUUAGCCCAAACCAAUAAAGUUUUCUUUAUUGGGGUUGCGGACAUAUCAUAACGAAGAGGUAUCGUAAUUGAAGAGGUUUGGAAAGACCCACCACAGAAGGUAAUAGUCCUGUAUGUUAAACGAGAAGACUUCAGAUAUGAUCCAGAGUACCACGGGACACGUGAAACCCUGUGGGAAGCAGGAGGGACCACCCUCCAAGGCUAAAUACUACCUAGUGACCGAUAGCGUAUAGUACCGUGAGGGAAAGGUGAAAAGAACCCCGGGAGGGGAGUGAAAUAGAACCUGAAACCCUGCACUUACAAGCUGUGGAAGCACAUUUCUUGUGUGACCGCGUACUUUUUGUAGAACGGGCCAACGAGUUACGUUAAGUAGCAAGGUUAAGCACUUAAGGUGCGGAGCCGUAGCGAAAGCGAGUUUUAACUGAGCGUUCAGUUACUUGACGUAGACCCGAAACCGGGCGACCUACCCAUGAGCAGGAUGAAGCGAAAGUAAAAUUUCGUGGAGGUCCGAACCCACGAGCGUUGAAAAGCUCGGGGAUGACUUGUGGGUAGCGGUGAAAUUCCAAUCGAGCCCGGAGAUAGCUGGUUCUCCCCGAAAUAGCUUUAGGGCUAGCCUCAAGGUGAGAGAUACGGAGGUAGAGCACUGAAUGUCCUAGGGGGUAUUGCACCUACCGAAGACUAUCAAACUCCGAAUGCCGUCAUCUUAUACUUGGGAGUCAGACUGUGGGUGAUAAGAUUCAUAGUCGAAAGGGCAACAGCCCAGAUCGUCAGCUAAGGUCCCUAAAUGUAAGUUAAGUGGUAAAGGAUGUGGGAUUGCACAGACAACCAGGAUGUUGGCUUAGAAGCAGCCACUCAUUCAAAGAGUGCGUAAUAGCUCACUGGUCGAGUGAUCCUGCGCCGAAGAUUUCCGGGGCUAAAACUUACUACCGAAGCUACGGCAUCAGUAAUGAUGGGUAGGGGAGCUUCCCAUACGGGUUGAAGCAUGACCGUAAGGACAUGUGGACAGUAUGGGAGUGAGAAUGUUGGCAUGAGUAGCGAGAUGUGGGUGAGAAUCCCACAGGCCGUAAACCCAAGGUUUCCAGGGGAAGGUUCGUCCGCCCUGGGUUAGUCGGGACCUAAGCUGAGGCCGAAAGGCGUAGGUGAUGGACAACAGGUUGAUAUUCCUGUACUACCGAUAACCGUUUGAGAGAAGGGAUGACACAGUAGGAUAAGCUAAGCACACUGUUGGUUAUGUGUGCCCAAGCAUUGAGGCAGUCAAAGUAGGCAAAUCCGCUUUGAUAAUGCUGGGAUGUGAUGGGGAGCGAAAUUUAGUAGCGAAGUAGCUGAUUUCACACUGUCAAGAAAAGUCUCUAUCGAGGUUAAAGGUACCCGUACCGCAAACCGACACAGGUGGGUGAGGAGAGUAUCCUAAGGCCAGCGAGAGAACUGUUGUUAAGGAACUCGGCAAAAUGACCCCGUAACUUAGGGAUAAGGGGUGCCACCAUCAGGUGGCCGCAGAGAAUAGGCCCAAGCGACUGUUUACCAAAAACAUAGGUUUCUGCUAAGUCGCAAGACGAUGUAUAGGAGCUGACGCCUGCCCGGUGCUGGAAGGUUAAGGGGAUCUGUUAGAGCAAUCGAAGCAGUGAACUUAAGCCCCAGUAAACGGCGGCCGUAACUAUAACGGUCCUAAGGUAGCGAAAUUCCUUGUCGGGUAAGUUCCGACCCGCACGAAAGGCGUAACGAUUUGGGCACUGUCUCAACAACAGACUCGGUGAAAUUGUAAUUCCGGUGAAGAUGCCGGAUACCUGCGACAGGACGGAAAGACCCCAUGGAGCUUUACUGUAGCUUGACAUUGGGUCUUGGUACUACAUGUACAGGAUAGGUGGGAGGCUUUGAAACCAGGACGCCAGUUUUGGCGGAGCCAUCCUUGGGAUACCACCCUUGUAGUACUGGGACUCUAACCAUAGGCCAUGAAUCUGGUCUUGGGACACUGUCAGGUGGGCAGUUUGACUGGGGCGGUCGCCUCCCAAAAGGUAACGGAGGCGCUCAAAGGUUCUCUCAGUACGGUCGGAAAUCGUACGUAGAGUGUAAAGGCAAAAGAGAGCUUGAUUGCAAGACAUACAGGUCGAGCAAGGAUGAAAAUCGGACUUAGUGAUCCGGUGGUUCUGCGUGGAAGGGCCAUCGCUCAACGGAUAAAAGCUACCCUGGGGAUAACAGGCUUAUCUCCCCCAAGAGUCCACAUCGACGGGGAGGUUUGGCACCUCGAUGUCGGCUCAUCACAUCCUGGGGCUGUAGUAGGUCCCAAGGGUUGGGCUGUUCGCCCAUUAAAGUGGUACGCGAGCUGGGUUCAGAACGUCGUGAGACAGUUCGGUCCCUAUCCGUCGCAGGCGUAGGAAAUUUGAGAAGACCUGUCCUUAGUACGAGAGGACCGGGAUGGACGUACCUCUGGUGUACCAGUUGUNNNNNNNNNNNNNNNNNNNNNNCUGCCAAGGGCAUGGCUGGGUAGCUAUGUACGGAAUGGAUAAGCGCUGAAAGCAUCUAAGCGCGAAGCCAACUUCAAGAUAAGAUUUCCCACCGCAAGGGUAAGACCCCAGAAAGACUAUCUGGUUGAUAGGUCGAAGGUGUAAGUGCAGUAAUGUAUUUAGCUUAUCGAUACUAAUAGGUCGAGGACUUGACCAA
Molecule: ribosomal RNA, 2917 nt
Filed under: Clostridioides difficile
Lineage: Bacteria; Bacillati; Bacillota; Clostridia; Peptostreptococcales; Peptostreptococcaceae
Description: 23S ribosomal RNA
Rfam family: Bacterial large subunit ribosomal RNA
Source: RNAcentral